UACGGGGGGAGCAAGCGUUGUUCGGAUUUACUGGGCGUAAAGGGCGCGUAGGCGGUCAGCACAAGUCAGUUGUGAAAUCUCCGGGCUUAACUCGGAAAGGUCAACUGAUACUGUGCGACUAGAGUGCGGAAGGGGCAACUGGAAUUCUCGGUGUAGCGGUGAAAUGCGUAGAGCUCGGGAAGAACAUCGGUGGCGAAAGCGCUCUGCUGGACUGCAACUGACACUCAGGGACGAAAGCUAGGGGAGCGAAUGGG
This 254-nucleotide ribosomal RNA is filed under the name uncultured bacterium. RNAcentral's name for it is "partial 16S ribosomal RNA". It matches the Rfam family "Bacterial small subunit ribosomal RNA", at positions 524 to 776 of the family's 1533-position model. The record is from RNAcentral.